GCCAGUGUGUGUGGUGGUUAUGACCCUCGGCUUGUAACCGAGUGGUUUCGGGUUCAAAUCCCGAAUGAGAAAUG
This is a non-coding RNA of Trichonephila inaurata madagascariensis, 74 nucleotides long. NCBI's taxonomy places the organism in Eukaryota, Metazoa, Arthropoda, Arachnida, Araneae, Nephilidae. The record is from the annotation of a GenBank genome assembly.